Peromyscus maniculatus bairdii (prairie deer mouse) is the source of this 447-nucleotide non-coding RNA. The record is from RefSeq and is a predicted model, not a curated record. Lineage: Eukaryota; Metazoa; Chordata; Mammalia; Rodentia; Cricetidae.
AAGCGGACGUGACGUCACUGUGCGGCGUCGGUCGCUAGACUUGUUGCACAGCGGGGCUGAGAUCGACGGGUUCAGCGCCCCCUAUCGUCCACUUUCGGGACCUGCGUUUGUGGCAUACUAUUAGGUACUAAGGACGAGAUCCACUGUUAAUGUCCCUUUGUGACUCCUAGCACACAGUAGAUGUUCUGUAUUGACAUGGAAAGAUCCGGCUUGCUCCUAUAUCCAGAUGAGCUCUGCCAAGUUCCAGACAGCUGGCUCACAUUAUGCCAUCUGUGUCAUACAGUGACACCAUAGUGCCAUGAGUGGGACUGUCAUCACCUGUCACAAAUGCAGAAAAUGCCACAGAAGACUCCAUUUGGAGUCUAUCCCUUCACAUGGAUGGCCAGACAAGGAGCUACUCCUUCAAGGAAACCCUGGGGAUCAUCUCCAAUAAAGAACUGAAAAACA